RNAcentral lists this ribosomal RNA (253 nucleotides) under uncultured bacterium. Its description in RNAcentral is "partial 16S ribosomal RNA". It matches the Rfam family "Bacterial small subunit ribosomal RNA", at positions 524 to 776 of the family's 1533-position model. The record is from RNAcentral.
UACGUAGGGCGCAAGCGUUAUCCGGAAUUAUUGGGCGUAAAGCGCGUGUAGGCGGCUUUGCAAGUCGGGUGUGAAAGCCCUCAGCUCAACUGAGGAAGUGCGCCCGAAACUGCAGAGCUUGAGUGCCGGAGAGGGUGGCGGAAUUCCCCAAGUAGAGGUGAAAUUCGUAGAUAUGGGGAGGAACACCGGUGGCGAAGGCGGCCACCUGGACGGUAACUGACGCUGAGACGCGAAAGCGUGGGGAGCAAACAGG